AUGUAAGUUUAAGGCGGCCAGGGGUCGCCUCUCCAUGCGCGGGGCCCUCCAAGCUUGUAAGGACCCGGUGGUUUGAGAUUCAGAGCCCAGCCCAGCCUUCUUCUGAUCAUCCCUCUGAACUCACUCCUGUGGGCCUCUCUCUGCCGCACUCUCCCCGCUCCCCGCUUGUCCCGCAGGGUCAGUGGAAGGGCGUAGUCCCUGCCAACACGUCCAGCUCUGCCUGGGGUGGUUCUCUGAGCCCCCAGCCCUCCCAAAGCCGGCUAGGCUGAAGGACGUUUUGAGUGACUCCCUGCCAAAGUGUUUCCCAGCCACCAUCAGUCUGCCUCCUGAGCGGAGACGUUGGCUCUGGCCUUCCUCUCCCUCGAGGCGAGCUCCCAGCUGCCUAGGACCACCCCACCCCCCGCCCCCAUGCGGAAGCAAGAGUUUCUCUCCUCCUUGUUCUGAAGUCUCAGCCCUACUCAAUCAACCCUUCCCACCGCCGCUUCUCAGUAAAGCCCUCAUUCAGACAAGACGCCCAAUGACAGGGUUCCCUGGUGGCUCAUCUGGUUAGGGACCCAGUGUUGUCCCUGCUGUGGUUCAGGUCGAUGCUGUGGCACAAGUUCAGUCCCUGUCCCAGGAACUUCCAUAUGCGGCAAGCGGGGCCCUGGUUCCAUCCCUGGCCUGAAGCAGCGAGUUAAGCAUCUGGCUUUGCUGCAGCUGUGGUGUGAGUUGCAGCCCUGGCUCGGAUUCCGUCCUUGGCCUGGGAACUUCCAUAUGCAGCAGGUGUGGCCGAGAAAGAAGAGAGAAAGAGAGAGAGAGAGAGAGAGAGAGAGAAAGAGAGGGGUGGGGAGAGAGGGAGGGGAAAGACAAACAAAGAGAAGCGGGUUAUAAAAUGUCAUCAAACCCGUGGUUAUAAAUGCAACGCGCACAGGGCAUUACAAGACACUCUGCUGCCAUUUACUGCGUGCCUACGCCUAAGGCCCUGAGACAUGCGGGGCGCCGUAUAAUUAAAUCCUCAUGAGUAUCUUGCAAAUCAGCGAUUUUGACACUGAAGUGUGGGGGCGUUAAGGGCCCUCUCUAAGGUCCCGGGGGCUCCUUGACCUCAUGGCCCUAACCAGGCUUUGCUCCUCACCAGGGAGGACCCACGGCCCUGUAGCCUGGCGGGUUCCUCCCUGCCCCUUUCUCUCUCUCUCUUUUUUUGUCUUUUGUCUUUUUAUGUUCGCACCCGAGGUGUAUGGAGGUUCCCAGGCUAGGGGUCAAAUCGGAGCUGCAGCUGCCGGCCUACACCACAGCCACAGCAACGCAGGAUCCAGGCCGCAUCUGCGUGCCACCCACACCCCAGCUCAUGGCAACGCCAGAUCCUCAACACACAGGGUGAGGCCAGGGAUCGAACCCACUUCCUCAUGGAUCCUAGUCGGGUUCCUCCUCCUCCGCAUCUCCGCUUAAACGUCACCUCGGGGGCAAGGCCCUCCGUGACCCCUCACCUCGUCCCUCUCUGCUCCUUUGUUCCUAAGGAGUCUUCUUGGCCACACGACUAGGAGUUUGUUCAAUGCCGUCUCCCUCGCUGAGGCCCUUUCAGCGACUGCAAAUGUGGCAAACGAGUGACAGCUGUGCUCAAGGCCACUGGGUCACAGAGGCCCUGACUCCUGGGCCCAAAGGGUCUCUCUGAGCUUUCCUCAUCUUGUCCUGUCCUGUGCCCGUGUCAUAGGAAAGGGGAAACUGAGGCCAGAGAAGCAAGGCCCUUGUCGGGCCCCGCAGGGGUUAGAUGCACGGCUAGGGCAGAGCAGUGGCAGGUUCCAGGCUACCGGCCAGACACCAGUGGGUGGCCCCGACUGGCCCCAGUUCAUGUCUGUGUAGGGUAGGAUGAGGCAGGACGGCCCUGAAACGUGGCAGGCGGGAGGGCUGCCUAGGACGACGUGGCUGGCCCGGGGAGAGUGGAGAGGCUGCGGCCUGGCUGGCAAAGAGUUUCCUCCCAGCCCAGGCAAGUAAGCCCAUCCCCGGCUAUGCACGCCUCCCCCAGCUCCUGCCGCCCCAGUGGCUGCCAGGCCCUCAGGUCCCUGGCCAGUGGCCUGCUGCUUACAGAGGCGAGGGCCCAGGGAAGGUGCCUGGCUCCCUGGGUCGGAGCAGUGGGGGAGGGGCUGGUACCUUUACCAAGCUGCCUCCUGUCCCAGCACACAAAGGCAGAAAGGAUAGCCUAUCCCACUCCCGCCCUAGUCCUGGGCUGGGCCGUGCGGAAGCCCAGAGGCGGCUGAGUCACAGCUCCCGGCCUGGCCGAGCCUCUCUGAGGGUGAGCCUCUGGUCUCCACCAGCCAGGACGGUGGGGAGGGCACGGGGGACCCCCGACAGGAAGGAACAGCCUGUAGGGCACAUACCUGGUCCUGCCGCCCCACCGACAGGGCC
Molecule: long non-coding RNA, 2379 nt
Filed under: Sus scrofa (pig)
Lineage: Eukaryota; Metazoa; Chordata; Mammalia; Artiodactyla; Suidae
Description: lncRNA (ENSSSCG00030038634.1)
Source: RNAcentral